This 807-nucleotide ribosomal RNA is filed under the name uncultured bacterium. RNAcentral's name for it is "bacterial SSU rRNA". It matches the Rfam family "Bacterial small subunit ribosomal RNA", at positions 1 to 842 of the family's 1533-position model. The record is from RNAcentral.
GAUUCGGCUAGAUCAUGGCUCAGAAUCACGCUGGCGGCGUGCUCAGACAUGCAGUCGAACGAUUAAGCUCUCUUCGGAGAGUGUAUAGAGUGGCGCACGGGUGAGUAACACGUAAGUAAUCUACCUUCGAGUGGGGAAUAACCCGGGGAAACCCGAGCUAAUACCGCAUAAUGCAGCGGCAUCGCAAGAUGACAGUUGUUAAAGGAUUUAUUCGCUUGAAGAGGAGCUUGCGGCAGAUUAGCUAGUUGGUAAGGUAAUGGCUUACCAAGGCUACGAUCUGUAACCGGCCUGAGAGGGCGGUCGGUCACACUGACACUGAAUAACGGGUCAGACUCCUACGGGAGGCAGCAGUCGGGAAUUUUGGGCAAUGGGCGAAAGCCUGACCCAGCAACGCCGCGUGAAGGAUGAAGUAUUUCGGUAUGUAAACUUCGAAAGAAUAGGAAGAAUAAAUGACGGUACUAUUUAUAAGGUCCGGCUAACUACGUGCCAGCAGCGCGGUAAUACGUAGGGACCAAGCGUUGUUCGGAUUUACUGGGCGUAAAGGGCGCGUAGGCGGCAAUUCAAGUCAUCUGUGAAAUCUCCGGGCUUACUCGGAACGGUCAGAUGAUACUGCUUUGCUAGAGUGCAGAAGGGGCAAUCGGAAUCUUGGUGUAGCGGUGAAAUGCGUAGAUAUCAAGAGGAACACCUGAGGUGAAGACGGGUUGCUGGGCUGACACUGACGCUGAGGCGCGAGCAGGAGCAACGGAUUAGAUACCCGGUAGUCCUGGCCUAAACGGAUGAUACUUGGUGUCUGAGUCUAUUGCUCGU